UGACGAGGUGGUGCGAUGGUUGUCGUCAGCUCGUGUCGUGAGAUGUUGGGUUAAGUCCCGCAACGAGCGCAACCCUCGACCUUAGUUGCCAGCAUUCAGUUGGGCACUCUAAGGUGACUGCCGGCUAAAAGUCGGAGGAAGGUGGGGAUGACGUCAAAUCAUCAUGCCCCUUAUGACCUGGGCUACACACGUGCUACAAUGGGCGGUACAAAGGGUCGCGAACCCGCGAGGGGGAGCCAAUCCCAAAAAGCCGCUCUCAGUUCGGAUUGCAGGCUGCAACUCGCCUGCAUGAAGCCGGAAUCGCUAGUAAUCGCGGAUCAGCAUGCCGCGGUGAAUACGUUCCCGGGCCUU
RNAcentral lists this ribosomal RNA (351 nucleotides) under uncultured Anoxybacillus sp. RNAcentral describes it as "bacterial SSU rRNA". It matches the Rfam family "Bacterial small subunit ribosomal RNA", at positions 1031 to 1382 of the family's 1533-position model. Lineage: Bacteria; Bacillati; Bacillota; Bacilli; Caryophanales; Anoxybacillaceae. The record is from RNAcentral.